UACGAAGGGGGCUAGCGUUGUUCGGAAUCACUGGGCGUAAAGGGCGCGUAGGCGGCUUUAUAAGUCGGGGGUGAAAGCCUGUGGCUCAACCACAGAAUUGCCUUCGAUACUGUAGAGCUUGAGACCGGAAGAGGUAAGUGGAACUGCGAGUGUAGAGGUGAAAUUCGUAGAUAUUAGGAAGAACACCAGUGGCGAAGGCGGCUCACUGGCCCGGUACUGACGCUCAUGUGCGAAAGCGUGGGGAGCAAACAGG
Molecule: ribosomal RNA, 253 nt
Filed under: uncultured bacterium
Lineage: Bacteria
Description: partial 16S ribosomal RNA
Rfam family: Bacterial small subunit ribosomal RNA
Source: RNAcentral